CAAAAAUCAGUGAAGGAUCGAGUACUUUAUUCUACUCCUUAAAAGAGAAAACUGCCCCGGCUGAAAGCAGUUUAGGACGUGUAAAGGAAAGACAAUCUGGAGAUGAACAGAAGAAAAGCUGUUCCGUGACCGAGCGUUAAUCGAGAGGAGAAGAACAUUUCUCGAAUUUAGGUGGUACCGCGUGUAAUCAAAACUCGCCCUUGUA
This 205-nucleotide non-coding RNA is filed under the name Enterococcus sp. RNAcentral's name for it is "T-box sequence". It matches the Rfam family "T-box leader". Rfam says of the family: Uncharged tRNA acts as the effector for transcription antitermination of genes in the T-box leader family. T-boxes are found upstream of many aminoacyl-tRNA synthetase genes and some amino acid biosynthetic genes usually in Gram-positive bacteria. Lineage: Bacteria; Bacillati; Bacillota; Bacilli; Lactobacillales; Enterococcaceae. The record is from RNAcentral.